CCAAAUCCAGAAGAAUGUAUUCUCUCUGAUGCUGCCAGCGGGUGUAGCCUUGAAGAUAUUCCGACCCGGAAACCAUAUAUAUUUUAUGGGUUUAUUACUCCACGCAUCAGAUUUUGAUCUACUCCCUCUCUUCGUCUCUAAAUAAACCCAUACCACAAUUGUCGUUCUUCCCUCACAUCUCAUUUGGGUCCCUGAGUUUUGUUCGAUAUUUUUUGACACGCUCUUUCAUCUCUUGCCGGUUUUUUUGGUUUAGCUUCUCUCUGAAGCCCGUUUGCUUUGCUUGGGUGGUGGCUGAAAUCCUUCAAUGUUUAUCUCAAUUUAUCAGAGAUAAGAGUGGGUAAUAGAUUCUGAGAUGCAAGCAAGAACAUGAAUUUCAUGAGGAACUGAAGUUCCCUAAUCGGAUGAACGAUUAACAACAUGGAAGGACAAGUGAAAGUUUUUGUCUGGGGAACAAUGUCGUUUGUUAAAGUUGCUGAUAUUAAGCCUGGACAUAAUAAUAUGAGUAUAAGAGUUCGCAUUUGUAGGAUGUUGAGGGGAACGAUUAUGCAACCCAUUGAGCAUGAUGAUAGCCUUCACAUCAUACUGGUUGAUAAGCAUAAUGAUGUUAUUCAUGCAAUUGUUAGAGAGGCUGAUUAUGACGAUGUCUCUAGGAAGGUUGUUGUUGGUUGCAUCUAUAAUAUUACUAAGUUUUAUAGCAAGGUCAGUCAGAAGCAGUACAAAGUUGUUCUGCAUGAGACACAUUUGGUCUUUGAUAACAGGACUUUGCUGGAAGUGGUUCCCGAUGUUUAUCCUCCUCUCCCUCGGCAUCGUUUUUACUUUGUGCAUUAUAAUGAUCUCUUGAAUCGUAAAAAUAACGAUGAUUUGUUAACUGAUAUU
Molecule: long non-coding RNA, 876 nt
Organism: Argentina anserina (silverweed cinquefoil)
Lineage: Eukaryota; Viridiplantae; Streptophyta; Magnoliopsida; Rosales; Rosaceae
Exons: 5
Source: RefSeq, a predicted model, not a curated record